GCUGGAAGGUCGUUUUGAGACUUUGCCAACAUGGACGACAGCGCGCGCGCGCCCGCCAUGGCCUGCUGGUGGUCGCUGCAGACAAGAUCAUUUCACUAAAUAUAAAACGUUCAAGAUACACUCCCUGGAUUUGUUGUUGCCAUGUCCAGCGACCCGCCCUGCUUCGACACGCCACCUGUGCAGAACGACCUGGUCGUCAAGGACACAGCCGACCGAAGCAGCAGGAACCUGCAGUCCACAUGAGGACAUGAUGACAAAACAAAACAAACCCUGAGACGACCUGAAGGCCAAGGAGACCAGUUACAUCCACAUGCAUCCUUCUAACCAUCCAAAGGCAUCUGAUCUGUCUUUAAUCCUGCUUGCUGCAUAACGUAAAACUCGUGGUGUUACCAGAUACUUCACUAUGUCCAGCAGCUUCGCUCCAACUUGUUCCAUUAUAAACACAGGAGGAAAGCAACAAAGCAGUUAAUCCAGAUGUAAAUUCUUAUGUAAUAAAGUGACAAUACCUCAUAACUGCAUUCCCACUUUUUAAGACUUUUACUCCAUUACAUUUCAGAGAAAAAUAUUUUACUUUACUUUUUACAACACUUGUAUUUUUCUGUAGAAAUGGUGUUGAAACCAUAGAUCAUAUAUUCUUUUCACGCAAUGGUUUUUGUAUUGAUUUUA
Molecule: long non-coding RNA, 666 nt
Organism: Siniperca chuatsi (mandarin fish)
Lineage: Eukaryota; Metazoa; Chordata; Actinopteri; Centrarchiformes; Sinipercidae
Exons: 2
Source: RefSeq, a predicted model, not a curated record